This is a non-coding RNA of Lingula anatina, 67 nucleotides long. The record is from the annotation of a RefSeq genome assembly. Lineage: Eukaryota; Metazoa; Brachiopoda; Lingulata; Lingulida; Lingulidae.
GCCAGGGUGGCAGAUAAAUGCAGUGGAUUUAAGACCCGCCUAUGAGUUACUUUUAACUCUCCUGGUA